GUCUGCGUACACACUACCCUCCCCAGACCACACGGUGUGGGAUAAGACUUGGUAUGUUGUUGUUGUUAUUGUUGUAAUCUUUACCUGAAGGUUACUGAUACCAUAAUACUUUAUUAGGCAGUAAUCCUGCAACCUCUAGGUGACAAAGGAAUUGCCAUAAUUGGUGGUGACACAAUCAGAGGAUUCACAUCUUCUGACCAAGCAUGGAUCACAUUGAUCGGAGAGAAGUUAGAUGCUACACUGACAAAAGUUAUUUGACAUUCCUACUAGCAGUGCAAGAUAUAUGUUUCAAGACAUUUAAAUGCAGCAUCUAAAUUCAAGAUUUGCCUAUAAUCAUGUCUUAUUUCAAGGCACAAAGAGUGGCAAUUUGAUUCCAUGAUGGUUUGCUUUGAAAUGAUUUCCCUCGUGAGCUUAAGCUCUGCUGUCUUGUUGGUUGGUGAAAGGAUGAGAUACUGUAGGAGGUAACUUUUUCGUCUUUCCUGUGAGAAAUGGAAGAAGAAUAUGACCCAUAGAAAGCCAUUUCAGAAAUUUUAUUCAGUGUCCUCCUGGACCUCCCUUCUACAAAGGCGUAGUUUUGUUAUUGGCUGUCUUGCAAAAGCAGCAACUAAGAAUCUGCAGUUAAAGCUCAAACUUCUGCUAUGCUGAAUCUAACUAGGCAUACUGAUAAAAAGAUGUCAUCUCUUGAUAUGGUCGAUGAAUAAAUGUAGCAUUUUGUUGCUUAUACAAAAACGGAAGUUGCUUCUUAUAUGUAAUGGAGAUAUUCUCACUUUGAAUCCUUAAGUGUACUCUUGUUCUAAGAACCAUCAACUUUGAUCAUAAAUCUUUGUCAAACUUCAUUUGUUCAUCUCAUUGGCAUUCA
Nicotiana tabacum (common tobacco) is the source of this 859-nucleotide non-coding RNA. The record is from RefSeq and is a predicted model, not a curated record. Lineage: Eukaryota; Viridiplantae; Streptophyta; Magnoliopsida; Solanales; Solanaceae.